RNAcentral lists this ribosomal RNA (500 nucleotides) under uncultured bacterium. Its description in RNAcentral is "partial 16S ribosomal RNA". It matches the Rfam family "Bacterial small subunit ribosomal RNA", at positions 30 to 523 of the family's 1533-position model. The record is from RNAcentral.
AUUGAACGCUGGCGGAAUGCUUUACACAUGCAAGUCGAACGGCAGCACGGACUUCGGUCUGGUGGCGAGUGGCGAACGGGUGAGUAAUAUAUCGGAACGUGCCCAGUCGUGGGGGAUAACGUAGCGAAAGCUACGCUAAUACCGCAUACGAUCUACGGAUGAAAGCGGGGGAUCGCAAGACCUCGCGCGAUUGGAGCGGCCGAUAUCAGAGUAGGUAGUUGGUGAGGUAAAGGCUCACCAAGCCGACGAUCUGUAGCUGGUCUGAGAGGACGACCAGCCACACUGGGACUGGGACACGGCCCAGACUCCUACGGGAGGCAGCAGUGGGGAAUUUUGGACAAUGGACGCAAGUCUGAUCCAGCCAUUCCGCGUGCAGGACGAAGGCCUUCGGGUUGUAAACUGCUUUUGUACAGAACGAAAAGGUCUCUAUUAAUACUAGGGGCUCAUGACGGUACUGUAAGAAUAAGCACCGGCUAACUACGUGCCAGCCGCCGCGGUAA